AAAGGGACGAAGGGAGGGAGGAAAGAAAAGAAAGAGAGGAGUUGGGGGAGAGGAACAAAGACAUAGUCUCCAGCUGCCUCCUGUUUUCAUCUUUUGUACAGAUGAUAUCUGGAGCUAUGACAACCAUGCUUUAAUCAUAAGAACCAACGAGAUAAGGGCCCAGAGGAUAAGGGUUGUGGAAGAAUGGUGGACAAAGUGCACCCAAAAGCCAGGCAUGGUGGCAUACUCUUCUGGUCCUAGCACUCUUCCCUGGGAAGCUGAGGCAGAAGGAGCCACAGCUCAAGCGCAGCCUGGGCAGUUGAGCAAUUGAGCAACUCAGAGAGAGUCUAUCUCACAAUAAAAAGUUAAAUAAGAAUGGGGAUAUAGCUCAAAGCAAAGAUUCUGUGUUCAAGUCCCAGUACCACCAAAAAAAACUUACCAAAACACAGGAGUAAAUUCUGUUGUUCUACAGAAUGGUGGUGGGAGUGGCUUCACAACAACCUGUAAUGUAUUUUUUGAAUAAUCAGAAAUGAGGAGCUCGAAGUUUCUAAACACACAAAGUAAUGAAAAAAGAUGGAAAUAUUAAUUACUCUUACUUGAUUGGUACAUAUUGUAUAUAUGUGUUGAAAGAGCACACUAAUGGUGGGUGUGGUGGUACAUGCUUGUAAUCCUAGCAUUCAGGAGACUGAGGCAGGAGAAUCACGGCAAGUUUUGAGGCCAACCUGGGCUAACUAGUGAGUUCAAGUCCAUCUUGAAUUACAUAGCAGAACCCUAUCUCAAGACAUAAAUAAACAAAUAACACAAAACAGAAAAACACUCUAAACUCCAUAAUUACAUACAAUUAUUAAUUUUUAAUAAUGUUUCAAUAUUGAGAUAGAACUGUAAACUACUCUGAUUUGAUAUACCCAGAGUCCUAAAAUAGAAAAAUUAUCAAAUCGUCUACCUUUGAAACUAUUGUUUUAAAAGUUAGUUAGCCUUAUUGGUUGAGCCUUUUGUUAGAUAAGUAUUCUGUUACUUGCAGCUAAAUCAUUCCCAACUGUGGUUGCUCCCUUGGAAAAUACAAAAAAACAAAAAAAACAAAAAACAAAAAAGCAUAUGGAGAGAUUUGUAAAUUGAUAAUUAUCGCAUCUUAUUAUUUUCUCUUUCCUUUUCCCAAUGUCUGAGCAUAAGCCAUCCUCUUCAUGGUCUUUCCAUGAGUCUCCUCCUUGCCAAUUUACUGAAAUGUCUUCAUUUGCUAGGUUAAACACCUUUCAGUGAUACAGGAAUACACUAGUGAGGUCAGUAAUUUUCCUUACUCUUUGAGGCUAAGAAAUAAAAGUUAGGAAAUAAAGCUUAGGAAAAUUCUACUGAGUUGCUGAGUCUUGUUGGAUGUUAGCCAACUCCUAAACUCUGGCAGUGGAUAUAUUAACCUAAAUAUACCCACAAGCGUAGCAGUGCAUCAACUCCCAAAACAUAAAUCUACUGUAAAUAGGUCACUCAUUCAAACAUGGCUCAUUUCUGGCUGACAAAUUUGCCACAAAGUUAAUAAGUCACACGCCUUCUGUUUGCUCAAACCACUGUCAAGGUCUUGUUUGGGGCCCAGGCAAAAGCAUGUUUAUAUAAUCAAAUGUUUUUGUAAAAUUGUUAAGAUGUUAGCCACAGUCAUUCACAGCCUCUGUCUCCUCCCUUUCCAGCAGCAUUUCUGUCAUACUUGCUCUUCUGUAUAGUGUAUUAAAGAGGCCAAGGACGAGUAGAGAUAGAGUUUGGGGUCUCCUUCUCAUGCUGCAAAAAUCCUCUGGUGAUCCAUCUACACUCAGCACUACAUGAUUCAGUUCAGCUGGUGUUGAAGUUGAACAACAGUUUUCAGUCCACCAUUACCACACAAAUUAGACCAUGUAGAAUUAGCAGGAACAAGAGUUGGCUUGUGCUUUUAUCACAUUCUAUAAGUCACAUUCAUUCACUAUUUCUGUUACCUCACUUAAUAUGCAAAUAGAAGAGAAUCAGCCAUGCUGGGACUUGGGGGACCAAUCAAGAAAUCAACUACCAACCUUCCUGGUAAGCUGUGCAAGCCACGCAUGCGUUCCAGGGAGAGAAAAGACAGCAACUCCCAUGAACCUACCAGAGUGGGCUGAGAAUCAAACACCAUCCAUAUCCCCAAUUCCUCUUAGCAACUGGAUAACCAAGGACAGUCUGAGUUGACAGCAACUAAGAUGAUCUCAACCUGGAUGAUACGUGGAUUCUGUCCGAAUGCCUUACAAAAAGUAUCAGAGACUCCUUCAUUCGGUAUUCUACUAUCUACAUCAUUAAAGUAGCAGAAUUUGUGUAUAGCUAUGAACUCUUUUGCACAUGAAAAUUUCCAAUUAAGCAGUUUUGUUUCCAAAACCCAAAAUUGUACAACAAUCCAAAUGUCCAUCAGUAGCUGAGUGGCUAAAUAUACUGUAAAAUACUGAAACAAUGGAAUAAUAAACAAUAAUUUCAAAAAGAAUUCAGCCCUAUCAUAGGUCUGAACAGGGGCAAAUCUCACUGACACACUGAUAAGGGAGGAAGCCAGACACAAAAAUGUACACAACUGUGUGGUUCCACUCUUGUGAAGUUAGAGAACAAAAAGAAAAAAAAAUGUGAAAGAAGACAGAUUUGUGAUGACUUAAGUUAGAUUAUUAGUUGGGAAAGACAUAAGAAAAGCAAGGAACCUUUGUAGAAUAUUGAAAGUAAUUUACAUCUUGAUCUAGACGGUUGCUGUGUGGGUAUGUGUGUAAAUUCAUCAAGUUUACACAUGACCCGAAUACUUCAAUAUUUAUGUAUUGUAUCUCGUUUUUAAAGUUUAAAUCUCUACUAAUAAGAUUCAUGUUAAUAUAUGAUUUUGGUGGGUUUUUCUAUCAGAAGAUGGUCUGAACUAUCUUCAUAAUGCUCUGACUUCUUUGGCAAGCUUGCAAAUGAUAUCUAGUUAUAGAUAAUCAAUCAGCAGGGAAUCUCAGUUCCUGAAGGAAGUCACAGCUGAGAAAUAUGUUUGUGGCAAGAAGAGUUUCCUUGAGAACCAGGCAGGGGGUUGCCAAUCACUAGCUUCUGUUUCAUUGUACCCUUAAAGUAAAAAUACAUCGCUUGGGGAGAAAAAAGUCAGUGAGCAACCAGAUAAGAUACUUUGAUUACUGCUGCCCUUGAUGGGUACAGAAAGACGUGAGUUGUUGCUAAGAUAUUUUAGAUACCAGGGAAAGCGAUUUAAAAGAUGAUGAGCAUCAGAGCAGAAUUAUUUUUUCUUCCUAAUCAGAUUUUAUUGGUACAUUUUAUAUAUUCAUAAGGAUCACAUUCAUCAUAGAAAAUUUGUACUUGUAUAAUAUAUAUAGCUUGUUUCUUUUCUCCCCCAUUUAUCUCUCCUCCCCUUAACCCCUCCUCUCCUCCGCAUUUACAGAGGCUUUGUUUCUAUUUUUUCCUUCUUUUCUCCUUUUUUUCACUUUUCCUUACUUUCCUUCCUCCUCUCCUUCCUUUUUUUCCCUCCCCAUUUGAACAUUCUCUUCCCAUUUCCCAAUACCUGUUAUACAUUUUGGUUCUUAUUUACACUUUUAGAUUCUCACAUCAGAGAAAUAAUGUAUUUACACAUUUGUGUCCAAUUUAUCUCACUUAAGAGUAUGGUCUCAGGGGCUGGGGAUUUAGCUCAGUGGUAUAAGCACCUACGUAACGAGCACAAGAUGUGAGUUUGAUCUCUUGUACAAAAAAAAAAAAGGUAUGGUCUCAAGGUGCAUCUGUUUACCUAGCAAUGUCUCCAAUUUUAUCCUUUUUGUGGCUGAGUAGUACUCGGUGUAUUAAAAAAAAAAUUUUUCUUUAUCCAUUCACCAGUUGAUUAUCAUUUGAGCUGUUUCCAAGAUUUGGCUAUUACAAACUGUGCCAUUAUAAACAUGGGUAUGCACAUGUGUAAGUGAAAGGAACCUCUAGUUCUAGUUUUUUGAGGAAUCUCCACACUAAUUUCCACAGUGAUUGCACCAAUGUAUACUCCCACCAAAAAUAAAGCAUAGUUCUUUUUUCCCCACAGCCCCACAGCAUUUGUUAGUGGAUCUGUUAUUGAUAUUAGCCAUUCUUUCUGGGGUGAAAAAAAUCUCAGCAUUGUUCUAAUGUGCAUCUCUCAAGUGACCAGUAACGCUGAAUAUUUUUUGAUACAUUUAUUUGUUGUUUGUACUUCUUUAUCUGAGAAAUGCCUAUUCAUUAGAGCAGAGUGUUUAAACACAAAGUAUAAUGUUCGAGUGGCUGUCAUGCUGACACAGAUUUAGAUGUGAAAUUGAGGAGGAACAAAAUGAUAGCUCUUGUCUUCAAAUUAUUCACUAACUGUUAUGUCAGCAAAGUAUCAGAACUGGAGGAAAUGAUCCCUGUUGCAUAUAAUAUCUGAAAAAAAAAAUCUUUUCAGUCACUUGGGGACCUAGGUGGCUAGAAAUAUCAAUCAUCAGCCCAUAUCAUGAAGCAUAUCAUGAUUGGCUCUUGACUAUAAUCAUGUUAGGAGAGCAGAUGGAAUGAACAGAUAACACUGGACCUGGUUUUCACAUCUUGGAAGAGUAGGAUAUUCUUCAAAAUUGGGUUUAUAAAGUGGCCUGACAAAGCCAGGGUGUAUUAUAGUGAGGAUGGGGUAUGAAGUUGUAUAUCUGGUUCAUAUUGCGGCCUAAGACAAGAUGUAAAAUAAAAUGCUACAUAAAAGUGAAGUAGAAAAAGAACUAACGCUUUCUAACUUAAAAGCUAUGCUUCAGCAUAUGUACUGUUUCAAAGGUUUUCAGGAUACCUUUCAGCAUUAAAAAGCAUUUUAAAAGUAUGUUAUUCAAGAGAUAAAAGAAAUGCAUAUUACUGUCUAUAUUAUGUUUCACUUUGAGUAUUUAGAAGGACUUUUUCUUUCAGAAGGAUUAAUUUUUGAAGAAAUUAAAGACAUCAACUUCUACUAAGCUAAUGUUAUCCAAUAGGUAUGAAAAUCCUGAGGCAUUACACUGUGACUUGGAAGCCAUGCAAAUUUCUGGAAAUCUCCCUUAAUCCAUCUCUUUAAAAGGAAUUCUUAAAGAAUUAGAAAUUAAUCUUGGUUUAGAAAAAAAAUCACAGGGGUAGCAUCCUCACAUAUGUAACUUUCAAAGCUACUGUAAGAAUAUCUGAGCUGUGGUAACCUUACCAAUAAGUGUAAAACAGAACUGUUUGCUUACUGUGGGGACCUGGGUCCAGUGUCCCGUACCAAAACACAAAAACAGAGCCAACUUUAAAUUCCACCAAGUCACUCCAAAAUACUUUUGAGUUUUGGAUUGAGCAAGCAACAAAAGUUAUAGACUGUCUACUUUGAAAAUCUUUUAAAACGGGAUCAACCCUUUAUUGCCUAUAACACCUUAGGCAGCACAUAUUUUUUGGUGUUAAGGACUCAUUUCAAGCCUUCCUUUUGAGAGUCAUUUUUUCAAAAUGCUCACACAACCAACAGAUGGCAGAAUUGGCUAUGUUAUUCUAUGAUUAAAUACAAAUCCCUACCCAUAUCAAGCAAAAUGAUAUUUUUAAAAAGCGAUGUGUAUUUCCCUAAGGAUAUGGAUAUCUUAAACACAGAGUGUGCAUUUCUCUUGUUCUUUUCUAUUUCAAUGUAUUACAUUUCUAAGACUCCUCAAAUUUUGCCGAAAAGGAGUCCUCGCUUUUGGACAGGAUUGAAAGGUGAUUGCAGGCUCAGUUCAAGAAAGGAUAGGGCAUGUGUGUUAGGUUGUUAACUCACUACACAUUUGACACCAAAGAAGAGGUUUGUUUCACACCAACCAGUUCUCCAACUCUCUGAACAAUUGGACAACUUCCAAGUCAACAGAAUUCUGACACUAUUUAGAGAUAGCAUCUGAUCCCACAGCUUAAAGGGCUCCAUCGCACACGACCACCAUUUCAGACACCAAUCACAAGCUCUGGGAUGCCCAUACUUCGGACCAAACAGCUAUAAAUUAGGAGUUUCCACGACCUCCUGCUCAGAUUCAACAAUUUGCUAGAACAUCUUGCAGAACCUAGAAAGGCAUUUUGCUUAUAAUUAUUGUUUUAUUGUGAAGCAUACAAUUCAGUAACAGCCAAAUGGAAGAGAUACAAAGCGAGAAAUCGAGGAGGAGCCAGGCGUGGAGGUCUUCUGUGGGAACUGCAUGUGUUUGCCAACUGCAUGUGUUUGACAUACUCUGAACUCUGUCAUUUUGGUGUUUUGGAGGAGGCUUCGUCAUAUAGGCAGGACUGAUUAUUAACUCAAUCACUAGUGCCUCUUCUCUCCCUGCUGGAUCUAAUUUCAAAAUAUGUCCAGGAUCCAAUUGCUUGUGCUGUGUGGCUUACUGUGGCACUUGUUCCUGACCUCCUCUUGAGGGCUGAUGUACCACCACCCAUCUGCUGAGAAUACUGGCUGUUGGAGGCCCACAAGCAUGUCCUUCAUGCAGGUUGCAUUAACUAUACUCUGCCUGAGGUGGCUGGUUUCCCACCUUCCUCAGCGCUCACAUCUUGGCUCUGCUUCUCUGCCAUGGAAUGGUAUCUCUUUCCCCUCAACCCAGUUGAAUAUUCCUCCCCUUCAAACUUAACGUGAAAACUCUCUCUUUCUUAAAGGCUUCUGCACACAUUAGCUUGUAUCAGAAAACUCAGCUACAUUCCCUUACCCAAAAAGACUAUUAUUUUUCUCACACCUCAAAAAGUCCACGGGAUGGCAUUCCAGGACUCCUACAGGUACUUAGAAAAAUUCCCAUGGACCAGGUGCUCCUAACUUUUAGUCUGACAUGCUCCACUGACCAAUGCCACAAACAGAGUUGCAAUAUGGUAUAAUGGUUACUAGCAAGCUUUGGGAUGAAGAUAGCCUGGAUUCAAAUCCCAAUUCUGCAACUUACCAUGUAUUAGUUCUGCAAACUUAAGUCAAAAUGCUUAACUGCUCUGUUCUUCAAUUUCCCCUUCUAUAAAAUGAAGAUUAUGUAAACUUUAUAUGGUUGCUAAAAAGAUUAAAUUAGAUUAAUCCUAAAAUUAAUUUUAAAACUCAAUUUGAUAAGAGUAUUUGGAAUAAUAAGCACUAUGUAAGUAACUGCUCCAUGAAUACAUGGCUUUCAUCUUCAGUUAAAACAGUGACAGAAUUGGACAAGCUGGAGCAUAUUCAUGAACUCAAAGGACAGGACAGUUGAAGUCAAAAUGGCUGAAAGCUAGAGAUCACUGUGGUUGAGAUCACAGGAGGACCCAGAGUCAUGUGCAUUAGAGCUGAAUUCCUAAGUUAAGGCUGCCCAGAUGUAGCUACUGGCUCUCCCUUUGUCCACUUUGUGUCCCUGGGCAAAGCACCAGAUCUGUCAAAGGCUGUUUUUUAUAUGCAAAGUUGGAAUUAAAGAAUCAGGACAGGGACUGGGUAAAGUUCAAUGGUAGGGCACUUGCCUAGCAUGUGCCAGACCCUGGGUUCAAUCCCAGCACCACCAAACAAAGACAAAACAUCCGGAUCACUGAUGGAGAGGCCAGUUAGACUUCCGGACCCUAGCAGAAGAUGGUGCAAGGGUACAGAAUGAGGCUUUGCCAUGAAUAUUGAUCUUAUCUUUGGAAUCCACUCAUUUUUAGACAGAUUGAAGCUGAGGCUAGGAAUUAGAACCAAGGUGAAAGGCAUUCCAGCUACAAAGUCAUGUAGCUCCUUGAGGCGCUGGGGAACCUAGUAAGGAGCCAGUAGUCCCUAUAUGAAGUUAUAACAGUGGACCCCUUAGAAAGGCAACAAAUGCACCUCUCCUAGGAAACAGUUACUUUAUUAUUUCUGAGAAGUGGCAUGCAGUGGACAUUUGUUAUCUCUGGAAGUUCAUUAGCUCUUAAGUCAUAAGAUAUGUAUUAUUGUGCCUGCCUGGCAGGCGCAAGGUCAUCAGACUGAUCCCUGGUACAAAAAAAAAAAAAAAGAUACGUAUUAUUGAACACACACAUGUGCACACACACACACACACAGGCAUGUACACAUGCACAUUUCCAGGAAACUGAGAUAUAAAAUAUCUUAGCCAACAGCAUAUAAUUAAUGGAAUUUGAAUCCUACUCUUUUAACUUUAAUUUUUUGACUGGUUACAUUUCAAACAAUUUUCUCUAAAAACCAAAUUUAGAAUAGUAGUCUAAGUUAUGUCAGUUUCCUGUAUUCUUUGUGGUAAUGCCUUCUUAUGAAAUACCGUUCCAUACAGAAAAACAGAGGACCUGGGCAGAAGAGGAGACCCCUUAAGUCCUAUCCUUCACUUGUCCCUAAACUUGUGAGAAGAUUCAGAUUCCACAUAUGUGUGGUAGAUGGUGUUGAACCAAGGAACAUUUUGAUAGAAAGUUGGCUUUAGCUUCAAAACUCCAAACAAAAGUAAGCCAUAUAAAGGAGCCCAGAGCCUAGUGAUAGGUUUUUUGGUGCGGCUAGGGAGACAGAAAAAUAUAAAGUAAAAGUGGCUUUUAUUUUUAAGGAUGCAGAGAGAAACUCCAUGACUGCUGGGGUCUGGGUUUCUCUGUCAGACAUGUGGGGGGGGGCAUAUAUAUAGCCUAAGGAACAUUACUGAUGCACAAGUAGCCCAUUGGAAUUAAUUUGGUGACAGGUAAAUUGCCUAGGGGCGGGAAAGAUGACCUCAAGGUAAAGCCCCUUGGUUCCACCUCCCACUGCUGUAGUAUCCUAUCUCGGGUAAAAUCCUUCCACCUAGAAAUAAAACAAGCCACACAGCCUCUGUGAACUUUCCUAAGUACCACCUGAAUUACAGCACUCAGUGGCAAGAUUAGUCCAAUAAAAAUCAAGGAUGAGAGUCUAAGAAGAGGAGAAGGACCUUGUGUGUGCACCAAUGUCCAGGACAGAGCCUCUCUGGGCAGCUAGCACCAGCCCACCUGUGAACGAGUACAGACCAUUAGAGUCACCCAGGCAGAUGGGGGACAGUGAAGGUGAACAAGCAAGAGAUGAUGAAAUAAGCUUAGGUCUCUCUCUUUCUCCCUCCAGAGGAAUAAUACCCCAAAAGACAGAAGGAGUAUUGUCCCAAAUCCAGCUCAUUUAAACUCCACUUCCAUUGUCUCACCCCUUAGAACGUAAGGCCAAGAACAUCCUGGCACCAUCUGUCCACAUGUCAUGCUGGCAUGUGUCCUCCGGGGACACAUCUUGGAGGGGGGUAAACAGAGCACCAUGAUUUCUCUUGGUCCACAAACCAACAUAUUUUAUUUUAUAUUCUUGAUGCCGAUAUUUCAGAACUUAGUGACAUUAUAUAGCAUAAAAUAAUGAAUGGCAACAUUUUUGUGGAAAGACUUUGAAAUGUUCCACACAUUGUCGCUUAAUAUUCCUUAUGAGCAGAUAUAAUCCAUGCUUCUGAAUGAAUUUAUAAUGCAAACCUUAAAAGGGUGGCAUGUAAGUUCCACAGACCUCAUUUUUACAACAGGGAAAGAUUAUUUUCAGGAAGGGAUUUUAAAGAUGUGAAUGCUAAGUGAGCAGUGCUUUAUAUUCAUGUGAAAUGGAAAUGUCUCCCAGUACUUGGGAAAUAGAGCAGUGGACCAGAGCUGGUUUUAAUUAUGUAAAAAUAAUUUGUUACAGUAAACUCAAACUGAAAAAUUGCCUCAGAGUUAAAAUAAAUUCAUCAGACUUUAAAGUUGGCAAAGACCAACCAUCUUACAUAAUGAUCAUUUAAACCAGUCAACAAACAUUUACUGAACAUCUAUUAUGUACUGGGAGCUCAACUACCAAAAAUCCUUUUUAGUAUUAAAAAGGUCAUAGUUUCUUAAAUGAUAGUAACUACACUUCUAGACUUUAAGAAAGAAAUGUGUGAAGUAAAAUUAACUACAAAUUUAACAAAACUUUAAAUACUUUGAUCAUUAUAAUAGCAUGUAUACCAAAGAUUAAUAAUAAAGACCAAUAAGAAGACAUGUUAUUUAUCCCAUUGUCAGAAAAUGCUUGAAGCACAAACAUUCCAAAUAUUCCUUGCAAAUAUACCAUACUUUCCUCUGUGUCUAAAGCGGGACACCUCUGAUUAGGUCAGUAAGUUCAUUUUACUGAACUUAUGUUUUACGAUGAUGAAAACUAGGGUCUAAUCUGACCUCAGAAGUGGGUAGGGGUAGCAUUAGAAGCUCAGCUCUGCACUCAGUGCCUAUUUAGUCACCUAUUUGGUUUUAUGUGGCAGGGAAUUCUGACUGUUCCCGUGAUUCAUUCUCUUCUGCCCUUCAUAUUUGAGCUGGGCACUAAAGCAACCAGGUAGAGACUAGAUUCUCCAGCCUCUCCGGCAGUUAGCCCUAACCAUGUGACUAUGGCCAUUAUAAGCAGAAUUGACGUGCAAUUUCCAGGCCAAAAUCCUGUAAAGAAAGCUGCUACCACACGCUUUUUUUUGAUAAUGCAGAUUAAGGCAGAACCCUCCAGGCAAAUGCAGUGAAUAGAAGGAGGCUAGUCCCUGGCUGCCCUCAAAGAGCAGAGCCACUCUGUACCCUCCACAUUUUCUUGUAGAUAAAAUGUGAAAGAGGAAGAAACUUCUAUUUUGACUUAGUUACUUUAUUUUGGGUGUGCUUUGUUGCAGAAGUUCAAUCUGAACCUGACAAAAAUCAUAUGAAAAACUCACAUAAAUGUCUAUGGCAAGAGGGUGGGGAAAUGGCAAACGACCCUUUUGCAAAUGAGCAGCUGGGCAUUGUGGUACAUGGCUGUAAUCCCAAUACUAAGCCAGCCUAAGUCACAUACUGUAUUUCACCACAAAUGAGCACUAACCAGAAAAUAAGCCCUAGCAUGAUAUUUUUUUAGGAUGCUUAUAAUACAAGCCCUAUCCCAAAAAUAAACCCCAGAUAAAACUGUCAGGCAGACACAUGGAUUUAAUAUGUCUAUUGCAACACACAAGGGGUGUCUUAAAUUCUAAAAUAUUAAUAUAUAAUUAAAUAUAAGUAAAUGUCACUGAUAUUAGUAUUUUAAAUAAAUAAUAAUAUAAAUUAGUAUUCAUAAAUACCCAAGCAGGAGCCUUUGGAAGAGAAAUAAACACCUACGUAAACAAAUGAAAUCAUUAUAGUACAGACACAAUGCAUGAGUAAUGGGUGUGCUUGGUGUUUGUUUGUUUCUUUCUUUCUUUUUGGUCCAGGGACUGAACUCACAAUUUCAUGCUUGCAAGGCAGACGCUAUGCUGCUGACCUAAAUCCCCAGCCCUGGGUGCACUUCAUAAUGAACAGACAUGGCUGUCUCUAAUAUGAAGCUUUAUAAUUCAAUAUGUCAUGUGUUGUAACAGAUGUACUUAAAGCACUUGUAUGAAAUAAACAUUUUCUGAAUUUUAACGCCUAUAAUUCUUUGUCCCUUUUUUGUGGACCAUCACUCUUAACUCAUCAUUUUUGUCGCCAGUCCUGUCUCUUAAGUCUUCAACAAACACUUGAUUUAAUGGAAACUUGGUGAAGCCCAACCUGCAAGAGAUUGUAACUUGGGUAAGAUUGUAUUCAUGGGAUAAAAUUACUGAUGGCCAAGUUGCCAAAGUGCUGCAAGCAGCCCACAGGGACAAGAAAGCUCUGUUUCUGGAUACAAGAGAGUGGGGCCAAUGGCUCUACAAGAAAUGGAGUCACAAGAAAUUUGGGCUGGGAUUUGAGAUCGCAUCUGGAGAGUUAUAAUUAUGUUCCAGAAGAAGACGAAAUGAGCAUAUCUGAAUAAAUUAAGACUUUUGUACAUGAAUAAGUGUAGAGUUUUGUACAUAAAAAAAGUAAGACCUGAAAAUAAGCUCUAUUGCAUCUUUUGAAACAAAGGUUAAUAUGAGACUUGGUCUUAUGUUUGGAGGAAAUGGCAGUGAGUUCAAGGCCAGCCUGAACUACAUAGCAAGGCCCUGUCUCAAAAACCAAAAAAUAAAAAAUGAGAAGGAUAUGAAUAUAGAUAUGGAUAUAUAUUUCAUCUGUGUUUAUGACUAAUUGCAUUACAUCUGACCUCAGUGAUCACAGAAGGAAAUUGGUUCUUGACUGUGGGAGCUAGGCUUCUGGGACACACCACUGUGUAGUGCUCUCCCAUAUCAUAUCAGGGUUGGUCUAUGUGACCAAAAGAAUACGACAUAAUUGGUGGUGUUAACUCCUGAGGAUAGGCUGUUGGAGUACUCUCAAAGUCUGACUUCCUCUCUUUUUGGUACAUCCUUUCUGGGAAGGCAGAUGCCAUGUCAUGUGGACAUUCAGGCAGCCAUAUAAAGAGGCCCAUCUGGGCAGGAACUCAAGCUCUCCAGUUGGUCAACAAGCAUCUGAGAUAAGCAUGAAGAUAAAUCUUCCAACCUCAGCAACUGCAGACCCAGAACAUACAUGUAAGACUCAUGCAACCACCUUGAGAAUGUACUGUCACUAUGGAAAA
Long non-coding RNA from Cavia porcellus (domestic guinea pig), 12193 nucleotides. RefSeq lists it as uncharacterized. Lineage: Eukaryota; Metazoa; Chordata; Mammalia; Rodentia; Caviidae. The record is from RefSeq and is a predicted model, not a curated record. The transcript has 3 exons.